UAUAGUGGUAGUUAAAUUAUAAUUUUGGAUUUGCGUUCUAGGGUUGGGAAGCUAUCCCUCACUAUAA
This 67-nucleotide transfer RNA is filed under the name Ophiura sarsii. RNAcentral's name for it is "tRNA-Ala". Lineage: Eukaryota; Metazoa; Echinodermata; Ophiuroidea; Amphilepidida; Ophiuridae. The record is from RNAcentral.